Molecule: non-coding RNA, 30 nt
Filed under: Mus musculus (house mouse)
Lineage: Eukaryota; Metazoa; Chordata; Mammalia; Rodentia; Muridae
Source: RNAcentral
UAUACUUCAGAACCCUCUUCUCACAUCUGC